GAAUUGGUGGUUUAGUGGUAGAAUACUUUCAUUCCAUGCGGGAGACCCAGGUUCGAUUCCCGGCCAACGCA
This 71-nucleotide transfer RNA is filed under the name Loxodonta africana (African savanna elephant). It matches the Rfam family "tRNA". Rfam says of the family: Transfer RNA (tRNA) molecules are approximately 80 nucleotides in length. Lineage: Eukaryota; Metazoa; Chordata; Mammalia; Proboscidea; Elephantidae. The record is from Rfam by way of RNAcentral.